Molecule: ribosomal RNA, 303 nt
Filed under: uncultured bacterium
Lineage: Bacteria
Description: partial 16S ribosomal RNA
Rfam family: Bacterial small subunit ribosomal RNA
Source: RNAcentral
AGCAGUAGCCACGGUAAUACGUAGGUGGCAAGCGUUGUCCGGAAUUAUUGGGCGUAAAGGGCUCGCAGGCGGUUUCUUAAGUCUGAUGUGAAAGCCCCCGGCUCAACCGGGGAGGGUCAUUGGAAACUGGGAAACUUGAGUGCAGAAGAGGAGAGUGGAAUUCCACGUGUAGCGGUGAAAUGCGUAGAGAUGUGGAGGAACACCAGUGGCGAAGGCGACUCUCUGGUAUGUAACUGACGCUGAGGAGCGAAAGCGUGGGGAGCGAACAGGAUUAGAUACCCGCGUAGUCCCUGUCUCUUAUAC